RNAcentral lists this unclassified non-coding RNA (271 nucleotides) under uncultured fungus. RNAcentral's name for it is "sequence contains ITS1". Lineage: Eukaryota; Fungi. The record is from RNAcentral.
GUAUAGGUUUAUAGGCAUAAAAGCCAUUUCAUUACAUUCUAUAACAUACAAUUGGGUAUAUGCGGGAACAUAGGCCUGAAAAUGUAAGGGAAAGACAUAAAGUCAGUCCCCAAACCUGAAUGGCUAGCACUCAGAAAGAUAUCCAGGUCUACAAAAGGUGCACAGGUGGAGAUAUAAAGAUGACAAGCGUGCACAUGCUCCCUAGAGAACCAGCAGCAAACUCGUCAGAUUUACUUCAAUAAUGAUCCUUCCGCAGGUUCACCUACGGAAA